RNAcentral lists this ribosomal RNA (482 nucleotides) under uncultured bacterium. RNAcentral describes it as "partial 16S ribosomal RNA". It matches the Rfam family "Bacterial small subunit ribosomal RNA", at positions 30 to 507 of the family's 1533-position model. The record is from RNAcentral.
AUUGAACGCUGGCGGCAUGCUUUACACAUGCAAGUCGAACGGUAACAGGCCGCAAGGUGCUGACGAGUGGCGAACGGGUGAGUAAUGCAUCGGAACGUGCCCAGUCGUGGGGGAUAACUACUCGCAAGAGUAGCUAAUACCGCAUACGAUCUAUGAAUGAAAGCGGGGGACCGUAAGGCCUCGCGCGAUUGGAGCGGCCGAUGUCAGAUUAGGUAGUUGGUGGGGUAAAGGCUCACCAAGCCAACGAUCUGUAGCUGGUCUGAGAGGACGACCAGCCACACUGGGACUGAGACACGGCCCAGAUUCCUACGGGAGGCAGCAGUGGGGAAUUUUGGACAAUGGGCGCAAGCCUGAUCCAGCAAUGCCGCGUGCAGGAAGAAGGCCUUCGGGUUGUAAACUGCUUUUGUACGGAACGAAACGGCUCUGGUUAAUACCCGGGGCUAAUGACGGUACCGUAAGAAUAAGCACCGGCUAACUACGUG